RNAcentral lists this unclassified non-coding RNA (247 nucleotides) under uncultured fungus. Its description in RNAcentral is "sequence contains ITS1". The record is from RNAcentral. Lineage: Eukaryota; Fungi.
GUCAUUUUAGGUCUCAAUUUAACUCUGUCAAACAUGCAAGCGUAAACAUCAAGGCCUUGCGGCCCUGUGCUAAUGUGUGUGUUAGUUGCAGUGGGGAUUGAGGAUUGAAGACUAGAGACUAGAGACCCCCACUGAGAAUCCAAUCCUCACUGGGAACCUCCCAACCUCCAGCUCCCAACCUCCACCCCCCACCACAAACUAACCCAACCGAUUUGUAAUGAUCCUUCCGCAGGUUCACCUACGGAAA